Molecule: ribosomal RNA, 742 nt
Filed under: uncultured bacterium
Lineage: Bacteria
Description: bacterial SSU rRNA
Rfam family: Bacterial small subunit ribosomal RNA
Source: RNAcentral
AGAGUUUGAUCAUGGCUCAGAACGAACGCUGGCGGCAGGCCUAACACAUGCAAGUCGAGCGCUGUAGCAAUACAGAGCGGCGCACGGGUGAGUAACACGUGGGAACGUGCCCUUUGGUUCGGAAUAACUCAGGGAAACUUGAGCUAAUACCGGAUGAGCCCUAACGGGGAAAGAUUUAUCGCCGAAGGAGCGGCCCACGUCGGAUUAGCUAGUUGGUGGGGUAAAAGCCCACCAAGGCUACGAUCCGUAGCUGGUUUGAGAGAACGACCAGCCACACUGGGACUGAGACACGGCCCAGACUCCUACGGGAGGCAGCAGUGGGGAAUCUUGGACAAUGGGGGAAACCCUGAUCCAGCCAUGCCGCGUGAGUGAUGAAGGCCCUAGGGUUGUAAAACUCUUUCGGCGGGGACGAUAAUGACGGUACCCGCAGAAGAAGCUCCGGCUAACUUCGUGCCAGCAGCCGCGGUAAUACGAAGGGGGCUAGCGUUGUUCGGAAUUACUGGGCGUAAAGCGCGCGCAGGCGGUUCUUCAAGUCAGAGGUGAAAGCCCAGGGCUCAACCCUGGAAUGGCCUUUGAGACUAGAGGACUUGGGUACGGGAGAGGUGAGUGGAAUUCCGAGUGUAGAGGUGAAAUUCGUAGAUAUUCGGAAGAACACCAGUGGCGAAGGCGGCUCACUGGCCCGUUACCGACGCUCAGGCGCGACAGCGUGGGGAGCAAACAGGAUUAGAUACCCUAGUAGUCC